RNAcentral lists this transfer RNA (72 nucleotides) under Ictidomys tridecemlineatus (thirteen-lined ground squirrel). RNAcentral describes it as "Spermophilus tridecemlineatus (thirteen-lined ground squirrel) tRNA". It matches the Rfam family "tRNA". Rfam says of the family: Transfer RNA (tRNA) molecules are approximately 80 nucleotides in length. Their secondary structure includes four short double-helical elements and three loops (D, anti-codon, and T loops). The record is from Rfam by way of RNAcentral. Lineage: Eukaryota; Metazoa; Chordata; Mammalia; Rodentia; Sciuridae.
GGGGCUGUAGCUCAGUGGCAGAGCACUUGCCUAGCAUGUGUGAGGCACUGGGUUCAAUCCCCAGCAGCACCA